This is a long non-coding RNA of Erinaceus europaeus (western European hedgehog), 435 nucleotides long. RefSeq lists it as uncharacterized. The transcript has 3 exons. NCBI's taxonomy places the organism in Eukaryota, Metazoa, Chordata, Mammalia, Eulipotyphla, Erinaceidae. The record is from RefSeq and is a predicted model, not a curated record.
CCUGCAUACGCAGCUGGGUGGCAGGUCGCGUUCAUGUAGCUGCCAGUCCGGCCAUGCAGCGUCGUUUGCAUGGCGGCCUCACGUCAGUCGCAGCUGGGGCCACACUAUCCAGUGAAGAGGCUGUGGUGCUAGAUUUAAACAGACUCUCAAGCUAUUGCUGUGAUUGACCUUCCAUUUUCUGGCCUGAAAGACAUUCAGGGAAAGAGGAAGAGAUGGCAGUUUCUUGGGAUCGCAUGAAAUGGAGAGUGGAUCAGAGGUCAAGAAAGAGCCACAUGCAGGCCUGUUCACUGCUUAUGAAGUGUCCCUCACACAGGAGGGAAGCAAGCCUCAAACCUCCAUUUCUGUCUGUACUAUCCAACAAUGACAAGCUCGAUAACAACAGCAACAAUAAAAACAACAAGGGCAACAAAAGGGAAAAUAAAUACAAUAACAUAA